This 625-nucleotide ribosomal RNA is filed under the name Salmonella enterica. RNAcentral's name for it is "partial 23S ribosomal RNA". It matches the Rfam family "Bacterial large subunit ribosomal RNA", at positions 2261 to 2880 of the family's 2925-position model. Lineage: Bacteria; Pseudomonadati; Pseudomonadota; Gammaproteobacteria; Enterobacterales; Enterobacteriaceae. The record is from RNAcentral. RNAcentral also lists the same sequence under 3 other names.
GUGGGUAGUUUGACUGGGGCGGUCUCCUCCUAAAGAGUAACGGAGGAGCACGAAGGUUGGCUAAUCCUGGUCGGACAUCAGGAGGUUAGUGCAAUGGCAUAAGCCAGCUUGACUGCGAGCGUGACGGCGCGAGCAGGUGCGAAAGCAGGUCAUAGUGAUCCGGUGGUUCUGAAUGGAAGGGCCAUCGCUCAACGGAUAAAAGGUACUCCGGGGAUAACAGGCUGAUACCGCCCAAGAGUUCAUAUCGACGGCGGUGUUUGGCACCUCGAUGUCGGCUCAUCACAUCCUGGGGCUGAAGUAGGUCCCAAGGGUAUGGCUGUUCGCCAUUUAAAGUGGUACGCGAGCUGGGUUUAGAACGUCGUGAGACAGUUCGGUCCCUAUCUGCCGUGGGCGCUGGAGAACUGAGGGGGGCUGCUCCUAGUACGAGAGGACCGGAGUGGACGCAUCACUGGUGUUCGGGUUGUCAUGCCAAUGGCACUGCCCGGUAGCUAAAUGCGGAAGAGAUAAGUGCUGAAAGCAUCUAAGCACGAAACUUGCCCCGAGAUGAGUUCUCCCUGAGACUUAGAGUCUCCUGAAGGAACGUUGAAGACGACGACGUUGAUAGGCCGGGUGUGUAAGCGCAGCG